This 478-nucleotide ribosomal RNA is filed under the name Corynebacterium diphtheriae. RNAcentral's name for it is "bacterial LSU rRNA". It matches the Rfam family "Bacterial large subunit ribosomal RNA", at positions 2269 to 2745 of the family's 2925-position model. Lineage: Bacteria; Bacillati; Actinomycetota; Actinomycetes; Mycobacteriales; Corynebacteriaceae. The record is from RNAcentral.
UUUAACUGGGGCGGUUGCCUCCUAAAGUGUAACGGAGGCGCCCAAAGGUUCCCUCAGCCUGGUUGGCAAUCAGGUGGUGAGUGUAAGUGCACAAGGGAGCUUGACUGUGAGACUGACAGGUCGAGCAGGGACGAAAGUCGGGACUAGUGAUCCGGCACCUACUUGUGGAAGUGGUGUCGCUCAACGGAUAAAAGGUACCCCGGGGAUAACAGGCUGAUCUUCCCCAAGAGUCCAUAUCGACGGGAUGGUUUUGGCACCUCGAUGUCGGCUCGUCGCAUCCUGGGGCUGGAGUAGGUCCCAAGGGUUGGGCUGUUCGCCCAUUUAAAGCGGCACGCGAGCUGGGUUUUAGAACGUCGUGAGACAGUUCGGUCUCUAUCCGCGCGCGCGUUGAAACUUGAAGAAGGCUGUCCCUAGUACGAGAGGACCGGGACGGACGUACCUCUAGUGUGCCAGUUGUCACGCCAGUGGCAGGGCUGGU